Non-coding RNA from Daucus carota subsp. sativus, 96 nucleotides. The record is from Rfam. NCBI's taxonomy places the organism in Eukaryota, Viridiplantae, Streptophyta, Magnoliopsida, Apiales, Apiaceae.
GUUGAGGGGAAUGUUGUCCGGCUCGAUGCAACAAUCUAGCUAGCUAGCUAUUGAUAGCUAGUUUGUGUCAUCGGACCAGGCUUCAUUCCCCCCAAC